This 430-nucleotide ribosomal RNA is filed under the name uncultured bacterium. RNAcentral describes it as "bacterial SSU rRNA". It matches the Rfam family "Bacterial small subunit ribosomal RNA", at positions 958 to 1393 of the family's 1533-position model. The record is from RNAcentral.
AACGCGAAGAACCUUACCUACCCUUGACAUGUCCGGAACCCUGCUGAGAGGUGGGGGUGCCCGAAAGGGAAUCGGAACACAGGUGCUGCAUGGCCGUCGUCAGCUCGUGUCGUGAGAUGUUGGGUUAAGUCCCGCGACGAGCGCAACCCUUGUCCCUAGUUGCUACGCAAGGGCACUCUAGGGAGACUGCCGGUGACAAACCGGAGGAAGGUGGGGAUGACGUCAAGUCCUCAUGGCCCUUAUGGGUAGGGCUUCACACGUCAUACAAUGGACGGUACAGAGGGUUGCCAACCCGCGAGGGGGAGCCAAUCCCAGAAAGCCGUUCGUAGUCCGGAUCGCAGUCUGCAACUCGACUGCGUGAAGUCGGAAUCGCUAGUAAUCGCGGAUCAGCUUGCCGCGGUGAAUACGUUCCCGGGUCUUGUACACACGC